CUUGGUCAUUUAGAGGAAGUAAAAGUCGUAACAAGGUCUCCGUUGGUGAACCAGCGGAGGGAUCAUUACCGAGUUUACAACUCCCAAACCCAAUGUGAACGUUACCAAACUGUUGCCUCGGCGGGAUCUCUGCCCCGGGUGCGUCGCAGCCCCGGACCAAGGCGCCCGCCGGAGGACCAACCAAAACUCUUUUGUAUACCCCCUCGCGGGUUUUUAUAUCUGAGCCAUCUCGGCGCCUCUCGUAGACGUUUCGAAAAUGAAUCAAAACUUUCAACAACGGGUCUCUUGGUUCUGGCAUCGAUGAAGAACGCAGCGAAAUGCGAUAAGUAAUGUGAAUUGCAGAAUUCAGUGAAUCAUCGAAUCUUUGAACGCAUAUUGCGCCCGCCAGUAUUCUGGCGGGCAUGCCUGUCCGAGCGUCAUUUCAACCCUCGAACCCCUCCGGGGGGUCGGCGUUGGGGAUCGGCCCUUUACGGGGCCGGCCCCGAAAUACAGUGGCGGUCUCGCCGCAGCCUCUCCUGCGCAGUAGUUUGCACACUCGCAUCGGGAGCGCGGCGCGUCCAUUGCCGUAAAACACCCAACUUUCUGAAAUGUUGACCUCGGAUCAGGUAGGGAUACCCGCUGAACUUAAGCAUAUCAAUAAGCGGAGGA
Molecule: ribosomal RNA, 648 nt
Filed under: uncultured fungus
Lineage: Eukaryota; Fungi
Description: eukaryotic LSU rRNA
Rfam family: 5.8S ribosomal RNA (bases 266-419)
Source: RNAcentral